This 695-nucleotide ribosomal RNA is filed under the name uncultured bacterium. RNAcentral's name for it is "bacterial SSU rRNA". It matches the Rfam family "Bacterial small subunit ribosomal RNA", at positions 381 to 1096 of the family's 1533-position model. The record is from RNAcentral.
GUCUGAUGGAGCGACACCGCGUGAAGGAUGAAGGUCUAACGACUGUAAACUUCUUUUCUGAAGGAGCAUAAUGAGAGUACUUCAGGAAUAAGGGACGGCUAAAUACGUGCCAGCAGCCGCGGUAAUACGUGUGUCCCAAGCGUUACCCGGAAUUAUUGGGUGUAAAGGGUCUGUAGGUGGGAAAGCAAGUCAGGUAUGAAAGACCGAAGCUCAACUUCGUGUUUGUGCAUGAAACUACUUUUCUAGAAUCAGGGAGAGGUAAGCGGAAUUCUUAGUGUAGGAGUGCAAUCCGUAGAUACUAAGAAGAACACCAAAAGCGAAGGCAGCUUACUGGAACUGUAUUGACACUGAGGGACGAAAGCAUGGGGAGCGAAGAGGAUUAGAUACCCUCGUAGUCCAUGCCCUAAACGAUGAUAACUAAGUGUUGCGCAUUGGCGCAGUGCUGGAGCUAACGCGUUAAGUUAUCCACCUGAGGAGUACGAUCGCAAGAUUAAAACUCAAAGGAAUAGACGGGGACCUACACAAGCAGUGGAUCACGUGGUUUAAUUCGACAAUAAACGGGGAAUCUCACCCAGACUUGACAUCCUGAGAGUACACUGGAAACAGAGUAGUGCCCGCAAGGGAGCUCAGUGACAGGUGCUGCAUGGUUGUCGUCAGCUCGUGCCUUGAGGUGUUCGGUUAAGUCCGUUAACGAG